This is a long non-coding RNA of Callorhinchus milii (elephant shark), 1305 nucleotides long. RefSeq lists it as uncharacterized. Lineage: Eukaryota; Metazoa; Chordata; Chondrichthyes; Chimaeriformes; Callorhinchidae. The transcript is spliced from 2 exons. The record is from RefSeq and is a predicted model, not a curated record.
GACGCGACGGUGAGAUUUGGUACACGCUCGGUGCCUCCAGCGGACGCUGAUAUCAUCUACGCCAAUCUGGCAUUAGGAAACAGGAAUGAGAUAAGCCGUCAAGCCCGUGAGAACGAUGGUCCUGUCUACGCCACAGUCAGGGUUUAAUGCAGAGGCCAGUGGCCAUGAGUUGCUUUUGCUCCUCGCCCUAUCAACCCAUCAUCACUUAUAUUGAUAUCCAGCUUCAGUCUCACUUCAAUGGGGCUCUCAUUUCACCUGUCUUUCUGACGCAGAUAGAGACUGAGUUAGAGACUGAGAUAGAAUGAGUGAGGCAGAGACUGAGUAAGGGAGAGAUACUGAUUCAGAGACUGUAUGAGAGAAAGGUAAAGGGAGACGGAGUGAGGGAUAGAGAGACUGAAUGUGAGGGACGGAGUGAGAGAUUCAGAGAAGGACUGAGACAGGGAGAGAACUUCAGUGAGACAAAGUGAACGAGAGUGAUCGAAUGAGACUGAGUGAUUGAAUGAGACUGAGGGAGAUACUGAGUGAGUGACUGAAAAAGAGAGACCGAGAGAGAGAGAGACUCAGUGAGAGUCAGAGGCUGAUGCAAGUAUUGUGUGAGAGGGCAGAUGGAGAGUGCGUGUGGGAAAUAGCGGGAGUGACAGAAUGUAAUAGAGAGAGAGGGGAAGAGAGUGAUUGUGAGAGGCGUAUACUUAUAGUUUUGAUUGAGAAACAAAAGGGGCAGGGUGUGUGGGUUUUGUGAGAGAAGGAGAGAGUGAUUGAGAGAGAGCGUCUCACAGAGAAAGAAACAGUUGUGCCACAGAAGGAGAGAGACAGGGGUAGAAGUGGGAGAUUGAGAUCGGGAAGAGUGAGAGUGUGACUGAGAGAUAGAUUGUGGUGGAGAGCGAGGGAAAGAAACAUGGAGGAAAAGAGUGUGAAAGCGGCGAGAGAGUGUGUGAGUGGCGAUGGGGUGGUAAAGAGAGUGAGUGAGAGAAAGUAACCGAGAGACGCCGAAAGAUGAGAAAAGAGUAUGAAAGGACAGAGAGAGGGAGAAAGACGAGGAAAGUGUAUGAAAGUAGAGAGUGAUCGUGCAUAGCUGCAGCUUUGUUAGAUGUUGAUGUAAGGGCCUGUGUUAUUUAAUCAGAAUGAAUUGAUGGGAAGUAAAGCACAAGCGAUUCCUAUAUCAAAGGCACAAUAUUGAUGCGAUUAACCAAUUGCAGUGAACUUCACUAACCCGUAGUAAGUUUUAAUUUGAUUUGAUGAAAUGUACCAUUUUGAUGAUGCAUAAGCUUGCUAAUCCUUUAUUAAAUUUUACAACUUCAAAGGAAA